Molecule: small RNA, 331 nt
Filed under: Octodon degus (degu)
Lineage: Eukaryota; Metazoa; Chordata; Mammalia; Rodentia; Octodontidae
Description: 7SK RNA (ENSODEG00000024077.1)
Rfam family: 7SK RNA
About the family: 7SK was discovered as an abundant small nuclear RNA in the mid-70s but a possible function has only recently been suggested. Two independent studies have found that 7SK RNA binds the CDK9/cyclin T complex (known as elongation factor P-TEFb). P-TEFb activates transcription by phosphorylating the C-terminal domain of RNA polymerase II.
Source: Rfam by way of RNAcentral
GGAUUUGAGGACAAUCUGGCUGCAGCAUCUGUCACCCUACUGAUGGCCAGUGUUGACUCGGCUGAUCUGGCUGACUAGGCAGGGGUCCUCUUUCUCCCUCUCUGCUCCAUGAGCAUCCCUCCCAAAGCUGCACCUCCUGAGAGAACAAUAAAUCACCCCCAAUAAAGGAGGACCAUCCCUUGGCCAAGGGUAUGUGAGUAGCUGCGCUUCCCUGCUAGAACAUCCAAAUUAGCUCUCGAGAUCUGUCCCUGCCUUGAACUCAUUAUGUAGCCCGGGCUGACCCAAGCUUAAAGCAAUCCUCCUGCCUCAGCCUCUCAAUUGCUGAGAUGAC